AGAGAGAGAGAGAGAGAGAGAGAGAGAAGGAAGCCACGGCUAAGAGGGAGGGAGGAAGGAGAGGUCCGUUUUCGACGAUCCAACUCGGUAACAAGUAACGAGCCGGUCUUUUAGGAGGUGCCGAAACCGUAAGUUUGGCAUACUCCAGUCGAAUGAAAGGUGAGUGUGUCUGAUAUGGUUCUUCUCAAUAAGAUAUUGCUAUGGUGGUAUGUAUAUAUCUUGCUAUGGUAUUUUAGCUUUCAAUAUGAUUAUCGAUAUGUAAAUAAUGCGGUGGAGGUGAUUAUAUAUCAAUGAUAUCAUGCUAAUCGAGGUUUAGCUAUUGAUAUGGAUAUAUGUGGUCGAAGUUGUAUAUCAUGCUAUAUAUUGUUUUAGCUAAUGGUAUGCAUGCUUGUUGUAUGUUGAUUGUACUCGCUAAAGGAUUGUGGAGUGAGUCACACCAUAUCGUGGGCCAUGCCGUCUAAUUAACGGUGAAUGGGAGUGUGGUGUGCGGGACACAAUACGUUGGGUACAUGGGAUUGUGGCAGACGUGCCACUGCAUGCUUAUGUGAUUUAUAAUUAUGCUGUUGUUGAUUCAAUUAUUAUUAUGUGGUUGUUUAUGGGAUGAUACUGCUAUGUUUAGAGCAUGUGAUGGAUAUAACUGUUGUAUACAUUCGAGUGUUUCAGUUAUGCUGGAGUUUUAUAUCUAUGUCGAUAUUCCUCCGGGUAUUGUGAUAUCUUAUCGAGCACUUCUAUGUUUCACACACUCUGGCUUUCCUUUUUGGACUGUCAGGUAGCAGGUGGCUUAGAGUGGGUUCACUACUGGUCAACGCCUUGGAGAGUGCUGAGACUCGUGUUGGGUGAUGUCUUAGGUUAGAUUGUUAUGUAGCUGAUUCGUCUAGAAGUUAACCUACAUGUUUUGUAAUUAAUUGAAGAGAGGGAUAUUCAUUAUGACUUGUGAGUUGAGUUUUUGGCGUUGACUCAUUUCUAUUUUAUGUGAGAAGUCUUCCGCUAAGUUGUAUUCUGAUUGGUUGUAGAGUGUGGUGUGAUCUUUUGUGUGGAAUGCCACGUGGCCGCGCCGACUCGGGCCCACUUUGGGUGUCGUUUGCGGGGCGGGGCGUGA
Molecule: long non-coding RNA, 1099 nt
Organism: Rhododendron vialii
Lineage: Eukaryota; Viridiplantae; Streptophyta; Magnoliopsida; Ericales; Ericaceae
Exons: 2
Source: RefSeq, a predicted model, not a curated record